Molecule: long non-coding RNA, 1026 nt
Organism: Carassius gibelio (silver crucian carp)
Lineage: Eukaryota; Metazoa; Chordata; Actinopteri; Cypriniformes; Cyprinidae
Exons: 5
Source: RefSeq, a predicted model, not a curated record
UGAUAGUUUGUCUCUUUUAUCAAACAUUCCUGCUGUUAUAAUUUGUACAGCAUUUGUUGUUUCUUAAACUGUUGCACUGUCCAAAUACCCACACUUGCCAUCUUUGCACUUGACCACUUGAUUACUUAUUUGAAGUCUUUCCUGUAUUUGGCCUAGUGUUCAAGUGAGCAUGAUAACCACAAGUGUGUGUCGAACUUUUCAUGACCUGAUGACUGUGUUUCCCAAUCCUGAUCCUGGAGAACCCCAGCACUGCACGGUUUUGGUGUCUCUCUUAUCUGCCUUGGAGUCUUCACUGAUGAGCUGAUGAGUUGAAUCAGGUCUAAAAUAUCAAGCUCAACAACUCACUCAAGAGCCAACCCUCACAAACCUUCCUAAAAACUAAAAGAGCUAUUACUGAGUCUCAGCGAAUCUUGCCAUGAUCAGCUCUUCCCAGAAGAGAAGGAAGACCAAGGAAAUGAUUUGCUCAGGAUGAGGAAUGAAGAUGGCCAUCUUGUGCUCAAACAAACAGAAGUCCUCUGAUGAUCUCAUCAGCCAAAUGAGGGGUUUUGACCAAGUGAUGCUCUUGAAAGGAGUGAAAGAAGAGGAUGUGCUAAAUUCUCUUCAGAGAAAAAGCUUCUCAAAAGGUCUCAAAACAGCUUGAAGAAUGGUCUGGGAUCUUAGGACUGAGAGAUCCUCUGGCUGAGGACAAGCUACACCACAUCAGUGCUGGAUAUCAGCCACAAACUGUUUCCAGACACGAGAGAAGAAGAACACGAUGGGGAGAUGAAACCAGUUUAGAUGUGAUGAUGGGAAUCAUUAUUUUCUGGAACAGUAUCUCAUGUCUUAUAUGUAUCACAUGAUCUGUAUCACAGUUGACUGGAUGGGACUGUGUGACUUUUAAGGACAUUUCAUCACUCAUCUGUGUGAACUGAUUUAUAUAUGAGGUUAAUGUAUCUUUGAUGAUAAUUAUUUUCAUUGAAUCUUAUUUGUCUUGAUGCUACUUUAUCAACUUUAUAGUCUAUGCUUCAAUAAAAUGAAAAUGGUGAA